GUAACUUUAUAUGCAUGCAAAUGACUCUGAGCCACCUCUAAUCCUGCCAUUGCUCUUACCCAGGCUGAUAUCACCACGAAAGCCCUGGACUCUAUGCUAUGCUCCACCCCGUUGCUGUUGCCAUUAACCAUUACCAUCUACAGCACAAUUAUUCCAGGUGUCUAGACAUGGCAGUCUCCAGAGCUCAGCCCCACCCUUUGAACCUAGUCCGUGAUCUGUCUACGCAGAUAGUUAAACAAAGGAAUUCACAUCAACAAAUUAGUUUUGAAAUCAACAAACAGAACCUGGUUUCUCCUAGUACAGCUUCCCAACAGGAGUGGGUGGAAAUUGUCCUGCAAAUCAAAAUAUAUUCCUGCUCCGGUGCACGCUAAAGGCAUAGCCGUCUUUCAUUUAUCAAGUCAAGAAUAAUGUUUUGUCAUACAACUGGAAACAGGCUUGUUUAAAGUUGUCUGUGAGUCCAGAUAAACUCUGUUACUCCUCUCAUAGAUGCUCCUGAAGGACUAUGGGCUACAAUGGGGAAGAGCCUGUGCCCCUGGGGACAUGG
RNAcentral lists this long non-coding RNA (544 nucleotides) under Mus spicilegus (steppe mouse). Its description in RNAcentral is "lncRNA (ENSMSIG00000030764.1)". The record is from RNAcentral. Lineage: Eukaryota; Metazoa; Chordata; Mammalia; Rodentia; Muridae.